This 1493-nucleotide ribosomal RNA is filed under the name Escherichia coli. Its description in RNAcentral is "partial 23S ribosomal RNA". It matches the Rfam family "Bacterial large subunit ribosomal RNA", at positions 1 to 1529 of the family's 2925-position model. Lineage: Bacteria; Pseudomonadati; Pseudomonadota; Gammaproteobacteria; Enterobacterales; Enterobacteriaceae. The record is from RNAcentral.
GGGUUGUGAGGUUAAGCGACUAAGCGUACACGGUGGAUGCCCUGGCAGUCAGAGGCGAUGAAGGACGUGUUAAUCUGCGAUAAGCGUCGGUAAGGUGAUAUGAACCGUUAUAACCGGCGAUUUCCGAAUGGGGAAACCCAGUGUGAUUCGUCACACUAUCAUUAACUGAAUCCAUAGGUUAAUGAGGCGAACCGGGGGAACUGAAACAUCUAAGUACCCCGAGGAAAAGAAAUCAACCGAGAUUCCCCCAGUAGCGGCGAGCGAACGGGGAGCAGCCCAGAGCCUGAAUCAGUAUGUGUGUUAGUGGAAGCGUCUGGAAAGGCGCGCGAUACAGGGUGACAGCCCCGUACACAAAAAUGCACAUGCUGUGAGCUCGAUGAGUAGGGCGGGACACGUGGUAUCCUGUCUGAAUAUGGGGGGACCAUCCUCCAAGGCUAAAUACUCCUGACUGACCGAUAGUGAACCAGUACCGUGAGGGAAAGGCGAAAAGAACCCCGGCGAGGGGAGUGAAAAAGAACCUGAAACCGUGUACGUACAAGCAGUGGGAGCACGCUUAGGCGUGUGACUGCGUACCUUUUGUAUAAUGGGUCAGCGACUUAUAUUCUGUAGCAAGGUUAACCGAAUAGGGGAGCCGAAGGGAAACCGAGUCUUAACUGGGCGUUAAGUUGCAGGGUAUAGACCCGAAACCCGGUGAUCUAGCCAUGGGCAGGUUGAAGGUUGGGUAACACUAACUGGAGGACCGAACCGACUAAUGUUGAAAAAUUAGCGGAUGACUUGUGGCUGGGGGUGAAAGGCCAAUCAAACCGGGAGAUAGCUGGUUCUCCCCGAAAGCUAUUUAGGUAGCGCCUCGUGAAUUCAUCUCCGGGGGUAGAGCACUGUUUCGGCAAGGGGGUCAUCCCGACUUACCAACCCGAUGCAAACUGCGAAUACCGGAGAAUGUUAUCACGGGAGACACACGGCGGGUGCUAACGUCCGUCGUGAAGAGGGAAACAACCCAGACCGCCAGCUAAGGUCCCAAAGUCAUGGUUAAGUGGGAAACGAUGUGGGAAGGCCCAGACAGCCAGGAUGUUGGCUUAGAAGCAGCCAUCAUUUAAAGAAAGCGUAAUAGCUCACUGGUCGAGUCGGCCUGCGCGGAAGAUGUAACGGGGCUAAACCAUGCACCGAAGCUGCGGCAGCGACGCUGAUGCGUUGUUGGGUAGGGGAGCGUUCUGUAAGCCUGUGAAGGUGUGCUGUGAGGCAUGCUGGAGGUAUCAGAAGUGCGAAUGCUGACAUAAGUAACGAUAAAGCGGGUGAAAAGCCCGCUCGCCGGAAGACCAAGGGUUCCUGUCCAACGUUAAUCGGGGCAGGGUGAGUCGACCCCUAAGGCGAGGCCGAAAGGCGUAGUCGAUGGGAAACAGGUUAAUAUUCCUGUACUUGGUGUUACUGCGAAGGGGGGACGGAGAAGGCUAUGUUGGCCGGGCGACGGUUGUCCCGGUUUAAGCGUGUAGGCUGGU